This 424-nucleotide non-coding RNA is filed under the name Reticulomyxa filosa. Its description in RNAcentral is "Bacterial large subunit ribosomal RNA". It matches the Rfam family "Bacterial large subunit ribosomal RNA", at positions 571 to 999 of the family's 2925-position model. The record is from Rfam by way of RNAcentral. Lineage: Eukaryota; Foraminifera; Reticulomyxidae.
CGGUCGGAGCCUUCGGGUGACGGCGUGCCUUUUGCAUAAUGAGCCUACGAGUUACGGUUACUGGCAAGGUUAAUGUUUGAAGAACAGGAGCCGAAGCGAAAGCGAGUCUGAAUAGGGCGAUUAGUCAGUGGCCGUAGACGCGAAACUUUGUGAUCUACCCUUGGUCAGGUUGAAGCGCUGGUAACACAUCGUGGAGGACCGAACCGGUAAACGUUGAAAAGUUUUCGGAUGAACUGAGGGUAGGGGUGAAAGGCCAAUCAAACUGAGAAAUAGCUCGUACUCCCCGAAAUGUUUUUAGGAACAGCGUUGUGGGGCGUUUAUGUCAGGUAGAGCUACUGAUAGGAUGCGGGGGAGUCAAAUCCUACCAAAUUCUGACAAACUCCGAAUGGGCAUAAACAGACACAGCAGUGAGGGCCGGGGUGCU